AUUGAACGCUGGCGGCAUGCCUUACACAUGCAAGUCGAACGGUAACGCGGGGCAACCUGGCGACGAGUGGCGAACGGGUGAGUAAUGCAUCGGAACGUGCCCAGUAGUGGGGGAUAGCCCGGCGAAAGCCGGAUUAAUACCGCAUACGACCUACGGGUGAAAGCGGGGGACCGUAAGGCCUCGCGCUAUUGGAGCGGCCGAUGUCAGAUUAGGUAGUUGGUGGGGUAAAGGCCUACCAAGCCUACGAUCUGUAGCUGGUCUGAGAGGACGACCAGCCACACUGGGACUGAGACACGGCCCAGACUCCUACGGGAGGCAGCAGUGGGGAAUUUUGGACAAUGGGCGCAAGCCUGAUCCAGCCAUGCCGCGUGCGGGAAGAAGGCCUCGGUGUAACG
This 395-nucleotide ribosomal RNA is filed under the name uncultured bacterium. RNAcentral's name for it is "bacterial SSU rRNA". It matches the Rfam family "Bacterial small subunit ribosomal RNA", at positions 29 to 430 of the family's 1533-position model. The record is from RNAcentral.